This 314-nucleotide unclassified non-coding RNA is filed under the name Hevea brasiliensis (rubber tree). The record is from RNAcentral. Lineage: Eukaryota; Viridiplantae; Streptophyta; Magnoliopsida; Malpighiales; Euphorbiaceae.
AGCAAUCUUGGAGGAGGGUCUUUUGCAGAAUGAAAGCAAUGGACUGUAUACAGGCGAUGGCUCAGUUGACUUCCAUGGGAAUCCUGUUCUCAAGCAAAAUACAGGAAACUGGAAAGCAUGCCCAUUCAUUCUAGGGAAUGAAGGCUGUGAGAGAUUGGCCUACUAUGGGAUUUCAACUAACCUUGUUACUUAUCUUACAAAUAAACUACAUCAAGGAAAUGUAUCAGCUGCUAGAAACGUCACUACUUGGCAAGGAACUUGUUAUCUUACACCCCUUAUUGGAGCUAUAUUGGCAGAUGCAUACUGGGGAAGAU